GCUGGGAUAGCUCACUCGGUAGAGCAUGAGACUCUUAAUCUCAGGGUCAUGGGUUUGAGCCCCACUGUGGGUA
Molecule: transfer RNA, 73 nt
Filed under: Podarcis lilfordi (Lilford's wall lizard)
Lineage: Eukaryota; Metazoa; Chordata; Lepidosauria; Squamata; Lacertidae
Rfam family: tRNA
About the family: Transfer RNA (tRNA) molecules are approximately 80 nucleotides in length. Their secondary structure includes four short double-helical elements and three loops (D, anti-codon, and T loops).
Source: Rfam by way of RNAcentral